GACGAACGCUGGCGGCGUGCCUAAUACAUGCAAGUUGAGCGCUGAAGGUUGGUACUUGUACCAACUGGAUGAGCAGCGAACGGGUGAGUAACGCGUGGGGAAUCUGCCUUUGAGCGGGGGACAACAUUUGGAAACGAAUGCUAAUACCGCAUAAAAACUUUAAACACAAGUUUUAAGUUUGGAAGAUGCAAUUGCAUCACUCAAAGAUGAUCCCGCGUUGUAUUAGCUAGUUGGUGAGGUAAAGGCUCACCAAGGCGAUGAUACAUAGCCGACCUGAGAGGGUGAUCGGCCACAUUGGGACUGAGACACGGCCCAAACUCCUACGGGAGGCAGCAGUAGGGAAUCUUCGGCGAUGGACGAAAGUCUGACCGAGCAACGCCGCGUGAGUGAAGAAGGUUUUCGGACCGUAAAACUCUGUUGGUAGAGAAGAACGUUGGUGAGAGUGGAAAGCUCAUCAAGUGACGGUAACUACCCAGAAAGGGACGGCUAACUACGUG
Molecule: ribosomal RNA, 497 nt
Filed under: uncultured bacterium
Lineage: Bacteria
Description: partial 16S ribosomal RNA
Rfam family: Bacterial small subunit ribosomal RNA
Source: RNAcentral